This 497-nucleotide ribosomal RNA is filed under the name uncultured bacterium. RNAcentral's name for it is "partial 16S ribosomal RNA". It matches the Rfam family "Bacterial small subunit ribosomal RNA", at positions 28 to 507 of the family's 1533-position model. The record is from RNAcentral.
GAUGAACGCUGGCGGCGUGCCCAAUACAUGCAAGUCGAGCGAACAGACGAGGAGCUUGCUCCUUUGACGUUAGCGGCGGACGGGUGAGUAACACGUGGGUAACCUACCUAUAAGACUGGGAUAACUUCGGGAAACCGGAGCUAAUACCGGAUAAUAUUUCGAACCGCAUGGUUCGAUAGUGAAAGAUGGCUUUGCUAUCACUUAUAGAUGGACCUGCGCCGUAUUAGCUAGUUGGUAAGGUAACGGCUUACCAAGGCAACGAUACGUAGCCGACCUGAGAGGGUGAUCGGCCACACUGGAACUGAGACACGGUCCAGACUCCUACGGGAGGCAGCAGUAGGGAAUCUUCCGCAAUGGGCGAAAGCCUGACGGAGCAACGCCGCGUGAGUGAUGAAGGUCUUCGGAUCGUAAAACUCUGUUAUUAGGGAAGAACAAACGUGUAAGUAACUGUGCACGUCUUGACGGUACCUAAUCAGAAAGCCACGGCUAACUACGUG